This 1243-nucleotide long non-coding RNA is filed under the name Equus caballus (horse). Its description in RNAcentral is "lncRNA (ENSECAG00000057474.1)". Lineage: Eukaryota; Metazoa; Chordata; Mammalia; Perissodactyla; Equidae. The record is from RNAcentral.
AUAAUACUAAUUUAGAGAGUUCUGAAAGUCAGAUCAAGGCAGUCCAAGCCCUCCGUUAACAGAUGAGAAAAAACAGUUAUGGAGGUGGUGUCAGCAUCAUGGCAGAGUGAACAGGCCUGGGACUCUCUCCCUUCCAACAUACAACAAAAAGGAGCAACCAUAUUCCAAAAGAAAAUAUCCUAACAACACAAAACCAGAGAGACACUCAGCCACACGAUGGAGGCUGGAGAGGCUGGAAACCCCUCAGAGCAGCUGGAACAUGGUAAGAGAGAACUUUGCUUCCUCCUCAAAAGAGUGAGGUUGCUGCCACUGGAAGCUCCAUGAGGGAAGGAGUAGGGGAGGGGUCACACAUCUGUGGACACCCAUCACCCAGGACAGCCUAGGGCCCUUGCAGCCUAAUAGGAAGCCCUUUAAGGCAGCAAAAGCUUUCACAUGGAGUGACCUCAUCAAGCCAAGACCCCAGGAGACCAGAUAGCGAGAGCUGAUCAAAAAGUCCUGGACUGCACACUGGAGAAAGCACCCAUCCCCUGACCUACCCUGUGCUGCACCAUCUUGGCUGAAGGCAGAGAGCUCAGAAUAUGUGGCUCUCAACACCUACUCAGUGGUGAUAGGCUGUAACUGCAACUGAAUAAUAUCAGAAUGAGGGAGAGCCGACUUUCCAUCAGACACUACAUCAAAUCUCCAGACCAGAGAGAAAAUGACAAGUACCCAGAACUCAGUCCUGAGGACAUAGAAAUAUGUAAGCUAAACAACAAUGGAUUCAAAGUAGCUAUCAUCAAAAAACUCAAUGAGGUAAAAGAGAAUAUAGAGAAACAAUUAAACAAGUUCAGGAGCUACUUAACAAAAGAGAUUGACACUAUAAAGAAGAAUCAAUCAGAAAUAUUAGGGAUGAAAGACUCUAUGGAAGAGAUAAAACAAAAUAUAGAUUCUCUGAAUGCUUGUGUGGACACCAUAGAGGAAUCAAUCAGCAUAAUCAAGAUAGACAUUUUGAAAUGCUCCAGACAGAGGAGGAGAGAGAACUAAGACAAAAAAGAAAUGAAGAAAGUCUCUGAGAAAUAUCUGACUCAAUGAGAAAAUGCAGCAUAAGAACUAUAGGUAUUAAAGAAGGUGAAGAGAAGGAGAAUGGAGCAGAAAGCAUGCUCAAAGAAAUGAUAGCAGAGAACUUCCCAAAUCUAGGGAAAGAGAGGGAAAUAUGUGUGGAGGAAGCUUCCAGAUAUCCUAGAUUUGUCAAUGUAAAAAGACC